Molecule: ribosomal RNA, 547 nt
Filed under: uncultured bacterium
Lineage: Bacteria
Description: partial 16S ribosomal RNA
Rfam family: Bacterial small subunit ribosomal RNA
Source: RNAcentral
UGGGGAAUUUUGGACAAUGGGCGCAAGCCUGAUCCAGCCAUGCCGCGUGCGGGAAGAAGGCCUUCGGGUUGUAAACCGCUUUUGUCAGGGAAGAAAUCUUCUGAGUUAAUACCUCGGGAGGAUGACGGUACCUGAAGAAUAAGCACCGGCUAACUACGUGCCAGCAGCCGCGGUAAUACGUGGGGUGCAAGCGUUAAUCGGAAUUACUGGGCGUAAAGCGUGCGCAGGCGGUUUUGUAAGACAGAGGUGAAAUCCCCGGGCUCAACCUGGGAACUGCCUUUGUGACUGCAAGGCUUGAGUGCGGCAGAGGGGGAUGGAAUUCCGCGUGUAGCAGUGAAAUGCGUAGAUAUGCGGAGGAACACCGAUGGCGAAGGCAAUCCCCUGGGCCUGCACUGACGCUCAUGCACGAAAGCGUGGGGAGCAAACAGGAUUAGAUACCCUGGUAGUCCACGCCCUAAACGAUGUCAACUGGUUGUUGGGAAGGUUCCUUCUCAGUAACGUAGCUAACGCGUGAAGUUGACCGCCUGGGGAGUACGGCCGCAAGGUU